UGCUACUUGGAUCAGUAUGGUUAAAUAGC
This 29-nucleotide small RNA is filed under the name Bombyx mori (domestic silkworm). Its description in RNAcentral is "ovarian small RNA-34088". Lineage: Eukaryota; Metazoa; Arthropoda; Insecta; Lepidoptera; Bombycidae. The record is from RNAcentral.